CUCAGAAAAUAUACGGUAGAACCGUAGAAGUGUAUUUUUUCUAGAGAGAGAGAGACGGUGAGGGGGGUUUGCAGCAGAAACGAGGAGGAGAGUGGAGGGAAUAAGGGAUUAGUGGGGCGAGGAAGGCAAGAAAGAUUGGGGGGGGGGGGGGGGUGUUGGAGUUUAGGCAUCAGUAACGAGGGGGAGCCAAGGGGAGAGAGGAUGAUUCUUCCCAAAUAUUCAAUGCCUGCGAGCGAGAAAGAACAAUCCCAUCUGAUACUGAUUAUUAUCUGAACAGAAAGAACUCAACACACUCUCUCUUUAAUUACUCCUCCAACCCCCCCACCCUCUCCCCUUUUACUUAUUAUAGAUGAUGCCUUAUAACUUGCCUCUCCAAGUGCAGGCCUUCUCCAGUUACCACUUCCCACCCUUCUCUCCUCCCAUCUCUCUGCACUUUGCUUGCGUGCAAUCCACUCAAUACCCCUCUCUCUUCCUCCAUUUACUACACCAAUUACUCCUUCUUCCCUCAUAUGGAGAGAACCAUCUCUUUCUCUACCAUUUACUACACACCCAUAACGCCCUUUUCCCUCAUAUAUAGAGAGAGCCGCUCAUUGUCCCAUCCUCUCUCUCUCUCUCUCUCACUUGGGGUGUGUAUAUAUAUAUGUGUGUGUGGUGUCCAGUGGUUGAAAUGAAGGAGAAUACUCGAUUCUAUGUGGUAUUCAGCUAAGGGAAGAAUUAAGAUCGAGGCCCUUUUAAUUUCAUGUGGGUUUAGCAAAGGGUUUCUUACAGAGUUUAUUGGCAUUCUGUCCACCUCCACUUCACUUGAGGAUGAAUUAUACCCUCUCUCUCUCUCUCUCUCUCUCUUUUCAUUGGAGGUGGGCAUCCUGCCAACCGAGCUCUGUUGGCUUCUCUUUGUAAAACUCAUGUGAUGAUCUUUCAGUAAGGGCUCCUCCUUUCAGCCUUCGGCAGCCCUCUUUUCUCAAUCAAGGUUAGGAGGUAUUUCUUCGAUGUCAGCUAAGCAGGUACUGGAAGUUCAAUUUAUAUGCAGAAGCAAUAUCAACUUAGCAUGAAUGCUUGAGAUAAUGAUCCAUCCAAGUGUCCUUUUGAAACCUUAAUUCUUGCUUCCUUCGUUUUUUCUCCUCUCCCCCCACCCCACCCCAAAAUUCCACUAUUGUUCAACUGUUCAUAUAUGAUAUAUCUUUUGUUUCAAAUUUAUCAUCUAUCAUGGCUACAGUUCUGUUCUCUACUGAAGACAGUUGCCAGAAAUGGUACUGUACUCUGGAGGGAAUAUGGAUGAAUGAGAUCUAUUCCUCGAGGGAAUAUGGAUGUAUGAGAUCUAUUCCUCGUUAAGUAUCUUUCCUUCAUCUGUGGAACUUGAGUUUUUUUUUUUUUGUAAUUGAGAAGUCCUUGUGACUCUGAAUGAGGAGUCUCUUUUUGGUUGGUGCAUGGGCUGUCAAUCCAAAGAGAUACAAGAGAAGAGUUCAUGAUGGGUUAGCUGUGCAUGGUUUCCCAAUUGUUCAAUUUCUCCAUUUGCAGGUUGCACCACCUACUUGGUAUCAGUAUUACCUACUGUGCAGGCCAUGAGCAUAUCAUCACUCUCAAGUUUCUCCUGAUUUCAUUACUUCAUUGAAGACUGUUUGUUUCUUGCUAGUGGGUUGAGGUUGUGUUUAGCUCUUGCUCCCACGGUUUGAAGCUUUCAGUGUUAGGGGAUAUGCCCUCCCAUGGCUUCUUCUAUCUGUCUGUUUUAUGGAGUGGUCUUGUGCUGUGCUGUGGAACUUCUGGGUUCUGAGCUUAAUGCUCACUGUUAAUGAAAGUUAGUAUUGGUAUUGAAUUGUAUUAUGAGUUUUGAACAUUUGAUGCCCACAGAAGGACGAAAUAAAAGCAACACAAUCAAUUAUAUUUGGGGACCA
Macadamia integrifolia is the source of this 1889-nucleotide long non-coding RNA. RefSeq lists it as uncharacterized. Lineage: Eukaryota; Viridiplantae; Streptophyta; Magnoliopsida; Proteales; Proteaceae. The transcript is spliced from 2 exons. The record is from RefSeq and is a predicted model, not a curated record.